This 561-nucleotide ribosomal RNA is filed under the name Prosoeca cf. lichtwardti. Its description in RNAcentral is "partial large subunit ribosomal RNA". The stretch from base 355 to 561 matches the Rfam family "Eukaryotic large subunit ribosomal RNA", at positions 665 to 820 of the family's 3401-position model. Lineage: Eukaryota; Metazoa; Arthropoda; Insecta; Diptera; Nemestrinidae. The record is from RNAcentral.
UAUCCGAUAUGAAAAAUUCAUCAUUAAUAAUAUAUUAAUUAAAUUUAAUAUAUGAAUAGUGUGCAAUUUUUUCAUAAUAGGACAUUGUAAUCUAUUAAUCUUUAUAUAAAAAUUUAUCAUAAGGUCUGUAUAAAUAGAUUAUUUUUAAUUUAACUUUUUUUUUAAAAAAGUUAAUGGAAUAAAAUUUAAAGCAGUACCAGAUAAAUGAUUGAUAGAUUUUUUCAUAUAUAACGCUUACAUUAUAUAUGUUAUAAUAUUUUAAUAACUAUAUGUUAUUAUUAUUUAUUAUAUGCGUUUAUAUGAUUAACAAUGCGAUAGAUUUAGGAUACCUUCGGGACCCGUCUUGAAACACGGACCAAGAAGUCUAACAUAUGUGCAAGUCAUUGGGUAUAUAAAACCUAAAGGCAUAAUUAACUUAACUGUUAUUAAUGGGAUUAUUAUGUAUUUAUAUUAAAAUACAAAAUCCAUCCCGGGGCGUUCUAUACAGUUAUGUAUUUUGAUAUUUAUAUCAUAUAUACCUCUAACUAGAGCGUACCUUGAGCAUAUAUGUUGUGACCCGAA